This 74-nucleotide transfer RNA is filed under the name Escherichia coli. RNAcentral's name for it is "tRNA-Gln". It matches the Rfam family "tRNA". From Rfam's summary of the family: Transfer RNA (tRNA) molecules are approximately 80 nucleotides in length. Their secondary structure includes four short double-helical elements and three loops (D, anti-codon, and T loops). Further hydrogen bonds mediate the characteristic L-shaped molecular structure. tRNAs have two regions of fundamental functional importance: the anti-codon, which is responsible for specific mRNA codon recognition, and the 3' end, to which the tRNAs corresponding amino acid is attached (by aminoacyl-tRNA synthetases). tRNAs cope with the degeneracy of the genetic code in two manners: having more than one tRNA (with a specific anti-codon) for a particular amino acid; and 'wobble' base-pairing, i.e. permitting non-standard base-pairing at the 3rd anti-codon position. RNAcentral also lists the same sequence under 1 other name. Lineage: Bacteria; Pseudomonadati; Pseudomonadota; Gammaproteobacteria; Enterobacterales; Enterobacteriaceae. The record is from RNAcentral.
UGGGGUAUCGCCAAGCGGUAAGGCACCGGUUUUUGAUACCGGCAUCCCUGGUUCGAAUCCAGGUACCCCAGCCA